UUGGAAGGGUGUCAAGAAAGACUUAGAAAUCUGGGAGAGAUUGAAACUUUCUUUCUUAGGGAGGAUCUCGGUUAUUAAAAUGAAUGUCCUGCCCAGAAUGUUAUUUUUGUUCCAAACUAUACCAGUAAUGAAAGGACUAAAACAGUGUAAAGAUUGGCAAAGGAUCUUAGCGAGAUUUAUCUGGCAGGGGAAAAGACCACGAAUAAAAAUGAAAAUAUUGGUAGACAAAAAGAAAGAGGGGGUUUUUCUUUACCAGAUUUGAGUCUAUACUAUGAAGCGGCUUGUUUAAUGUGGGUGAAAGACUGGAUAAAGUUAGAGAAUACUGAUAUCUUGGAUUUAGAGGGCUUUGAUAACAGGUACGGGUGGCACUCGUACCUGUGGUACGAAAAGGUGAAAGUUCAUAGAGGCUUUCUAAAUCAUAUAAUCAGAGGAUCAUUAUUUCAAGUAUGGGAAAGAAAUAAGAACUUGCUGGAAAAGAAAACUCCAUGGUGGAUCUCACCAAUUGAUGUCUUAACUGUUAAAAAACUAAUAUGGAAGGGAAAAGAGCCACCUAUGAAGAACUUAUCAAUAAAACUGAUCAGGGCAUAAAACUCAAGCCCUAUGAGGAGGUAAAGAAUGUACUUACGGGAUGGUUGCAAUACCAUCAAGUGAAUGAUCUGUUAAAAGAUGAUAAAAAGAAACUGGGAUUUGAAGAUAAAAAUCUAAAUUUAAUGUAGAAAUUAUUGAAGGCAAAAACAAAACAUUAUCUAGGAUGUAUGACCUUUUACUGGAUUGGUAUACAAAAGAUGAAGAGGUGAAGGAGGCUAUGAUAAAAUGGGCCAUAGACAUUGGUUACAACAUUGACUUUGUAAAGUGGCAGGAAUUGUGGAAUGUAAAUAUGAAAUUCACGGCGUGUACGGCAUUAAGGGAGAAUCUCUGGAAGAUGAUUCAUAGGUGGUAUCUCACACCAGUGAAAUUGGCUAAGAUUUACAAACUGAAGAAUAAGAAGUGCUGGAAAUGUGGAGAGGAAGAUGGUGAGUUCUACCACAUGUGGUGGACAUGCAGGAAAGUAAAAGGCUUUUGGGAACUGAUCUACAAUGAGCUUAAAAGGAUUUUUAAAUAUACUUUUCCCAAAAAGCCUGAAGCUUUCCUGCUAGGAAUAGUUGGCAAGGAAAUUAAAAAAGAGGAUAAAAAUCUGUUUCUAUAUGCCACAACGGCCGCUAGAAAUAUGUUGGCCCAAAGCUGGAAAACAGAAUUAAUACCUACUAUAGACGACUGGCAGAACAAGAUGAUAAAUUAUGUUGAACUAGCUAGAAUAACAGGAAGACUAAGAGACCAGGAUGACCAGAAGUUUCAUGAAAAUUGGAAUAAAUAUCUGACGUAUAUAAGAGAUAAGUAUAGAACUUUGAGGACUCUGGCAGGGUUAGAAUAACUCUAACAGUGUUUGGCAAAUAUGUAAAGGAGAUAAAACAUGUAACUUUAGAAAUUAUCUGAUACUUAUCAAUAAAGUGAAGGGAAGUCCGAGGCUCGGCGGAGCCUAUAAAUAAUUGUGUACUAUAUAUAUGAUUUUUGUAACAGCUAUGUUAUAUGCAACUUAUGUAAUCUAGACUGUAUAUAUGUAUAAUCAAUGAAAAUUAAUAAAAAUGUAU
Molecule: long non-coding RNA, 1628 nt
Filed under: Podarcis lilfordi (Lilford's wall lizard)
Lineage: Eukaryota; Metazoa; Chordata; Lepidosauria; Squamata; Lacertidae
Source: RNAcentral